AUUUCAUUUGAAAACAUCCGUAUAUGAGGCUUUCUAAAAACCGCUUCAACAACCUGGAAAUCUUCUUAAGAUAAGUUGUGAGUAAACAAUCUCAUAAUUACAGUUUCUUUAAGUGAAUGUUUGUAUUUGAUUUGAGUUCAGUCAAAAAUAUUAAGACAUAAAAAUAAACAAGCAGUUAAAAACAGAUGGUCUCCUUUAUUUAUCUGAGUUUUGAGGUAAAACAAUGUCAGUAAUUGCUAAUGUUAGCAAUGGCAACAGAAAACCAAGGGAAUGUUUUAGGGUGUGAAAAUUUCUGAUAACAAACAUCUUAACAGAAAAAAUGCAUGAGCAGACAGUGAUCUACAUUUAUUAUGCUAUUUAAAAUCCGGAGCUGAAAAUCAGAUUUUAUUUUGGCUGAAGAACUAAAGACAAUAGAAAUUUCUCCCAAAAGUUAAAAUAAAUCUUUGCAGAAUUACAGACAGUGAAAACCAAAGUCAUGAAUUUCCUUUUAUGUAUUUGAGUUCUUGUGAGUUUAAUCCAUUGUUAACUGAUGUCAUACAAACAGCUUUCCUCUCAGAAAAUGCAGUUUUCAGAUUCUCUCAGUGGGAUUAUUUGGAUCAACGUCCAUUUCUGCCUCCCUUUUACUUUCCUGCUUAUCACUUUGUGCUGCCUGGUGCGGUUGGAUGGUGCUCCGGUCUCCUACUGCAUGAACCUUCUGCUCUCUAAUCUAGUCCAGCUCAUCAUUCUGAUCGCUUUACCUCAACAUUCAGAUUAUCACUGGAAACAUCUGGACUCUGUUCACGUCUAUGCCUGCUGCAUUUUGGCCAGUCUCUACUUCAGGACGGUCAUAGCUCUGGAAAGGUGUUUUUUAAUUUCCUUCUCGCUGCAAUACAGUGUGACACAAACCAAAGGCUUGGUGAUCGUCUGUGUUUUGAUCUGGGUGUUCAGUUUUGGUUUGGGCCCUCUGUUUUUAAAGUUCCUUCAUGGACUGUUGUUCCUGGGUUUUGCGCUCCUUCCUGCUCCUGUGUUCAUUGUGUGUCUGCUUUGGACCCUCAAAUCGAUAAACACAAACUUAUCAGUGUCAUCUGAAGAAAAAGACAGAACUAUGGGAAUGCUUCUGGUUUUGCUGGUUAAUUACACCGUCUCAAUCUUCCCUGCAGUUAUUUAUUAUAUUUACUUAGGAGAUUUUAAUCGCUAUUAUUUUAAAAUUGCUGAUUUUUUUCUGACCCUGUUUCUCUUUGGUCCAUGUAUGGAUUUGUUCUUGUUUGUUUUCAUGUGCAAAGGACUUAUUGACAAGCUGCUGGUGUGUCUGUGCAGCUGCAGGAAGGAAACCAGUGAAGGAUCUGAUCUCAGCAGCUCAUCAGCUUGAAUACUGUAAAGAAAUACAUUUACUUUUAGUUUAAUAAAACAAACAGAUCCAAUUUAUAUGCAGACAUAUGGAGUCUGCAUAUAAAUCAUAUUCAUCUGACCAGGCAGAGAUUUGAAACCAUGUAAUAUAUUCAGCAGAGAAAACUGAUUUAAUUGAACUAUUCUAAAUGAUUGUGUGAAAUUCAACAACUUCUAUAAUAUUUUUAGAUUGUUGCUUUACAUUUUUAAAAGCUCCUUUGCCUUACAGGUUUCUGCUUUGGUCAAAAUUUACUGAUUUUUUUUUUAUUUUGAAGGAAAAAAAGUUAAUCAUGUGAAAUAUGAGUAAUGAAAUUGUGAUUGUGCCAUGCUAUAAAUAAAGAAUAUACUUGUUGUCACUCACUGUGUUGUGAUAUUGGUGUCACAAAUCUACUUAGAGGUUCGUUAUGCUUAAUGUUCUUGCUGCAUUUUGAUCAUUAUCUCUGUUUCCUGCCACAGAAGCACUGAAGAUACAGAGAAAACAUGUUUUUAUGGUAACAGAAACAUUUGAAACAUGCUCCCUCCGCUGUCUGGCUCCUUCACCACAUUUCCUCACAACAAGGAAAAAUUCAAAGCACCAAGAAAAGGUUUUCAUCAUGGGGGUCGCGACCCUGCAGGAGGGAUGUGAGACUUAUGAAUAGACAUUUUUGGUAUGUCUUCAUAAAAUCCAAGGUCACAUUAUUAAUCACACAUUGACAUCAAUCUAAUAUGUAACAGUUUUUAAAAAGAAGACUUAAAGUAACAAGUUUCAGACAGAAAAUCUCAAAUUCUUUGAGCAAAAUUCUGUUUAUUAUGAUAAAGUGUCUGCAUUAUGUUUGCACUGGAUGCAGAACUACAUUUUGUUCUUUUCAGUCACAUUAGUGGGUCAUAACUUUUAUAUUCAAGCUGAUGUCUAAGGGUUCUCGCUCUGCUUCUCCAUCAGUUAUGAUCCCAUAUGGUGUCUCUGAAAAACAUAGAACUUUGUGCCAAAGUUACUGGACUUUGGGACCUUUCACACUAAUAAACUGUAAAAAAAAACAAAAAAAAAACAUUUUUAUGCAGAAGGGUCUAAUAUGUAAAGAUGCAGAAUUUCUUAAAACAUUUCCUGCUGCAUUUUGAUCACUAUCUCUGCUUCCUGCCACUCAUCUCACCACACCGAAGCUCUGAAGGCAGUGAAGAAAAAAACUGCACAGUGAAGCAAAAAACAAAAAAACAAAAAGAUGAUGGUCCAAUGUACAACCGUGUGAAUGUUUGGUACGGAUGACAUUUCAGUGCAGCUGCUGGUGAAAUGUCUUUUUAACAUUUCUAACAUCGAACCAAUACGUCACGACUGCAGAUCUGUUCAUUUUAGAGGUUGGAUUGACAUCCUGGUAAAGAUAUUGUAAGUAAAGUAAUUAUUAAUUAUUGUCAUAUUUUUGAUUAAUAUUUUCUGACAAUUUAAAAAUCUAUUAAAUGAUUUUACUGUAACAGUUUUUAUUAAAUAUUUAUAUUAAAUAUUGUUGUAAAUUGUGUAAAUGUCCCAUAGUAGUACAUCAGAUGAAUGCAAGUCUUACUAAUGAUAUCAUGUCAAUAAGCAAUUAAAAUGCUUUCAUAAUUUUUAUUAUUUUUUACAACAGGAUUUUUGAGAAGUACAUACGAAGAAAUGGGAUUUGAAGUUUAUCUUAAUGUGAUGAUUUGGAUGGACGUCCGUGUUUGUUUCCCCUUCACUCUGCUGGCCAUCGGUUUGUGUCGCAUGGUUCAUUUUGACAACCUUCCUCCCAUCUACUACACAAACCUCCUCACCGCCAAUGCAGUCCAGCUCAUCACUCUGAUUGCUACUGUUGAAACAAAAGAUGGACGUUUUCCAAAUGCCGCAUGUCUCAUAAUCUACGGUGGUGUUGCGAUGGUCAGUCUGUACCUCAGGAUGAUCAUCGCCCUGGAAAGGUAACAACUCUUAAAAUCAUAACCAAUCAGGGUUGCAGAGUUUUGGCAGAGAUAUUAACAGAUUUUCUCUGUUUUGUGUUGCAGGUGUUUUUUCAUCAUCCAGCUGCCUUUCAUCAGACAAACUAAAUAUUCUUUAAUAAUCUGUGUUUCUGUCUGGGUUUUCUGCAUGGGGCUUUUUCCUCUUCUGGUAAUUUUUCGCUACUUUUCAGUCAUCUUUGUUUUUGCUCUCAUUCCUUCUAUCAUCUUCCUCUUGUGUCCACUCGGGGCCUUCAUAUCUCUGCCUAGAGCCGCCUCAGGAUCUCCGGAAGGAAAACGUAGAAUAAUUGCAACUUUUGUUCUGUUGCUGAUUAAUUACUCUGUAACAAUUGUCCCACCAGUUAGUUUUUUGACCUUUAGUUCAUAUUAUUAUUAUAUGUAUGAGGAAACACAGUUUUUUGUGACCUUGUUUCUGCUCAGUCCUUUCAUGGAUCUGCUUCUGUUCGUUUUCUUGCGUGAAGGACCCGUCGACCAGCUGCUGGCCUGUUUCUGCUGCUGCAAGAUGGAAACACCUGCAGUAAAAGAUGGCAGCAGAUUAUCUAUCUGAAA
Xiphophorus couchianus (Monterrey platyfish) is the source of this 3849-nucleotide RNA transcript. RefSeq lists it as uncharacterized. Lineage: Eukaryota; Metazoa; Chordata; Actinopteri; Cyprinodontiformes; Poeciliidae. The transcript is spliced from 4 exons. The record is from RefSeq and is a predicted model, not a curated record.